GACGAACGCUGGCGGCGUGCUUAACACAUGCAAGUCGAACGGAACGGCCUUUUCGGAGGUACUCGAGUGGCGAACGGGUGAGUAACACGUGGGUGAUCUGCCCUGCACUCUGGGAUAAGCCUGGGAAACUGGGUCUAAUACCGGAUAGGACCGCACUUUAGUGUGUGUGGUGGAAAGUUUUUUCGGUGUAGGAUGAGCCCGCGGCCUAUCAGCUUGUUGGUGGGGUAAUGGCCCACCAAGGCGGCGACGGGUAGCCGGACUGAGAGGUUGGUCGGCCACAUUGGGACUGAGAUACGGCCCAGACUCCUACGGGAGGCAGCAGUGGGGAAUAUUGCACAAUGGGCGCAAGCCUGAUGCAGCGACGCCGCGUGGGGGAUGACGGCCUUCGGGUUGUAAACUCCUUUCGCCAGGGACGAAGCGUUUUGUGACGGUACCUGGAGAAGAAGCACCGGCUAACUACGUG
Molecule: ribosomal RNA, 463 nt
Filed under: uncultured bacterium
Lineage: Bacteria
Description: partial 16S ribosomal RNA
Rfam family: Bacterial small subunit ribosomal RNA
Source: RNAcentral